GCGCGUCAGCGGGGUCGGUGAAAUUCCGAGCCGGCGGUGAGCGGCGACAGCCGCGAGUCCGCGACCCGUCCGCAUCCAGCGGACGGUUGACCUGGUGAGAAUCCAGGACCGACGGUCAAAGUCCGGAUGGGAGCAGACGCAA
This 142-nucleotide non-coding RNA is filed under the name Thermoactinomyces vulgaris. RNAcentral describes it as "FMN sequence". It matches the Rfam family "FMN riboswitch aptamer (RFN element)". From Rfam's summary of the family: The RFN element is a highly conserved domain that is found frequently in the 5'-untranslated regions of prokaryotic mRNAs that encode for flavin mononucleotide (FMN) biosynthesis and transport proteins. This element is a metabolite-dependent riboswitch that directly binds FMN in the absence of proteins. In Bacillus subtilis, the riboswitch most likely controls gene expression by causing premature transcription termination within the 5' untranslated region of the ribDEAHT operon and precluding access to the ribosome-binding site of ypaA mRNA. The record is from RNAcentral. Lineage: Bacteria; Bacillati; Bacillota; Bacilli; Caryophanales; Thermoactinomycetaceae.